RNAcentral lists this ribosomal RNA (458 nucleotides) under Loma morhua. Its description in RNAcentral is "SSU rRNA". It matches the Rfam family "Microsporidia small subunit ribosomal RNA", at positions 852 to 1304 of the family's 1311-position model. Lineage: Eukaryota; Fungi; Microsporidia; Glugeidae. The record is from RNAcentral.
CCGGGCCCGACGACCGUAAGAGUGUGACACACGAUAGGUCGAAGAGUGGUGCAUGGCCGUUAACGACGAGUGGAGUGAUCUUUGGGUUAAGUCCGUAAAUUAGUGAGACCUCAGCCGUAAGGGACAGGUGCGCAAAGCACAGGAAGGAUGGGUCAAGGACAGGUCAGUGAUGCCCUUAGAUGGUCCGGGCUGCACGCGCACUACAGUGGUCGCCGAAAUUAGCUGAUAAUUUUAAAGGCGAUCGAGAGGGAAUGAGCUUUGUAAGAGGCUCAGGAACGAGGAAUUGCUAGUAAUCGCGGACUCAUUAAGACGCGAUGAAUACGUCCCUGUUCUUUGUACACACCGCCCGUCGUUAUCGAAGAUGAAGACAGGCGCGAACGAUCUACCAGAAAGUGAGCGCAGGUCUUUAGAUCUGAUACAAGUCGUAACAAGGUAGCUGUAGGUGAACCUGUAGCUGG